RNAcentral lists this ribosomal RNA (341 nucleotides) under uncultured Latescibacterota bacterium. RNAcentral's name for it is "bacterial SSU rRNA". It matches the Rfam family "Bacterial small subunit ribosomal RNA", at positions 29 to 351 of the family's 1533-position model. Lineage: Bacteria; Pseudomonadati; Candidatus Latescibacterota. The record is from RNAcentral.
AACGAACGCUGGCGGCGUGGAUUAGGCAUGCAAGUCGUACGCGAAAGAGGGAGUAAUCCCUCGAGUAGAGUGGCGAACGGGUGAGUAACGCGUGAGAAACCUGCCCUAAGCAGGGGGAUAACACUCCCAACGGGGUGCUAAUACCGCAUGAGACCACUGGAUCGCAUGAUCCUGAGGUCAAAGGUGGCCUCUGCUUGCAAGCUACCGGCUUAGGAUGGUCUCGCGUCCCAUUAGCUAGUUGGCGGGGUAAUGGCCCACCAAGGCGACGAUGGGUAGCUGGUCUGAGAGGAUGGUCAGCCACACUGGGACUGAGAUACGGCCCAGACUCCUACGGGAGGCAG